UUUCACUUCUGUUUCUUAAUACUAUCAUUUUGAAAAAGUGAAAAUGAAACUGUUUCAUUGGUGAACAGUUCACAAGGGAGAGGAAAAGUCCUUCUGCCUCACCAUCCUAGAGCACUGGGAUUACAAGAAUGCACCGUCAUGGCUGGAUACACACAGUAACACCUGUGAAGCUUUAGUUCUCUAAUUAGGUCUCUGGAAUUGAGAGGUACGAUGAGGCCUGGAAGACUUCAGCAGUAAUGUGGGGUUCCUGUUGACUAAUUCUGUGAUCCCCUCCCUCACAGUCUGACAAUGAGGUAGGAUGCUGCCCCAAAGGCUGUGCCUACAGUUGGGCAUUCACACCCUGCUUGGCGAAGUGGCUAAAAGACAUUCCCUCAUUGACUGAGAGAGGAAUCCCGCGGGCUAGGUCCACGUGCUAUGUGCUGGAACUUUUGCUGGUGAGAGAUGAAGAUGUGAUUGCAGUGUCUGGCUGUGUGAUGAACACCAGAAUGACUCAUGGAGAGAGGGUGUUAACAAGGCUCUGGAUCAAGUGUCACUCACUGUAAUUUUUCACACACGAUGCUCUUGGAAAGUCCCCUGCAUGGAGGAAAGACACAUUGAUGUCUUUCAAAAGUGCACCGGUAUAGUUACUGUAUUUUUGUUUUCAAAAAUCCCAAGAAUCCCUGAAAUACUGUCUUGCCCACUCAAGAUAUUGUUUACUUUCCCUCUUGGAAAUGUUCAGUGGGUUCUACUGCAUGUUGAAUUUCAGUGAGGCUUAAACCUGUGUCAACUGUUUAAUUGCUUCUCUCAGCUUGGAUAAGUAUAUGUCUCAGCUACCCAAGCUUAGCUUCUCUACCAAAAUUUGUCAGUUUAUGUUUUAAACAUUACUUUGGAAAUUAGAACGGCUUGGAGAACUUAAGUUUUUCCAUGAUAAAGGUAAUCACUUUUCAAUAUAAUAAAGUUGCAAGAGUAAAAAAGAAAACAAAAUCAUUUGUAUUUUCCUCAACCAAACUUGCCCCAUUCCUUUUGGAGUUGGAUUUUACUGUAUAUUUAUAACUGUCUUAGAUGUUAUGCAUAUUUAUUGUUGAUCAUUUUAUAAAUGAAGAAAAUUAUAUAUUAGUAGUAUAUUAGUAACUUUCCCAUUGUUGGCACAAAACACCUGACACCCACAGUUUAAAGGAGAGCUUUAUUUUGGUUUAGGGUUUUAGAAAGUUCACUCCCUGGUUGGCUGGCUUCAAGGCAGAAACAUACUGGUGGAAGCGCAUGGUGGAGGAAAGCCACUCAUCCGUGGCACCCAGGAAGCAUAGAACAAAGGGAAGAUUGGGGACAAGAAUACACCCUUCCAGGUUAGGCCUCCAGUGACACAUUGAUGAGUUUACCCCUCCCUGCCAUGAUCUCAUCAGCUUCCAAAAGCCCUACCCUUGAACACAUUGGGAGUGUUGUGGACAUUUGAGAUCUCAACCAGAACAAGCAAGAAAAAUAUACACCACUAAUGUUAACAUAGGUGAUCCUUGAUUUAGGAUGAGGUUAUGUGCCAGAAAUCUAUCAAUAGGCAGAAGUACAUUGAAUGCUCAUAACUCAGCCACACAGUAGAUUGAAGAGUAUGGGUUGUUUCCCCUCAUCAACACACCGCUGACUGGGAGCUGCAGCUUGCAGUGCUGCACAGCAUCUGGAGAGAACAUCUGUUACUUAUCACUAGCAUAAGAAAAGAUCAAAAUUUAAAUUCAAAAUUCAGAGUGCAGUUUCUACUAUGUAUGGCUUUGGCACUACUGUAAAGUCUAAAAGUCUUAAGCUGAACAAUUGCAAGUAAAGGAUCAUCUGUAUUUUGGUCUAUUUCCUUACUAACUGUCAUGUGAAAAGAAUAAUUCAAUGACACUUGUUAAAGUGUGGUAAGGAAGACUUUAUUCUGGAUCAUUGCCAUAUGUGUAAGGACCUGCAGUGAGGACAAUGGGAUUUGGCUGCGGGGGAGAGAGAUUGGGCUCAACUUCAAAUAUACCAUGGGCAAGUGAAUAUUAACAACCAAGGAACAAGGUAGAUGCUGGUGGGUGGAAAAACUUCUCAAAGGUACCAUCAAGAGUAAGGAGAUUCUGGAUACCUGAACUAAUAGGGUUUUUGCUGAAGACAGGGCAGGGUGAUUCGAUGUCACGUGGGGUUGGAGGAAGGUGAACCUGACCAAAUGUUGAGGGUGAAAGAUUUUUACUAACAUGAUUUAGCAAGGUUCUUGCUAAAUCUGGAUUUUACAAAACAAUGCAAGAUGGGCCUGGGGGAAUGUUCAGGAGCCUGAAUGAAGUUUGAUCAAGUAAAAAAUCUCUGUCACAAGCAAGGUCCAUCUGCACACUUAGGAUGAAAAAUUUGCUGAA
Heterocephalus glaber (naked mole-rat) is the source of this 2336-nucleotide long non-coding RNA. RefSeq lists it as uncharacterized. The record is from RefSeq and is a predicted model, not a curated record. Lineage: Eukaryota; Metazoa; Chordata; Mammalia; Rodentia; Bathyergidae.